ACUUUGGGGAUGUGGCAGAGGCUGCUGGGCCAGUCACUUCUUCUGGAUGGGGGGCCAGAGAAGGAGGUGUGCCCGUGGCGGUUGGCGAAGGCCCCGGAGCAGAAUCCGCGGUGGUUCAUGGAGAUGUCCCGGCUGUAGCCCCGGUUCCGCCGGGAACAUUUCCGCCGGAGAUAGUGGUAAAGCUGGAAGAGGGAAGGAGAACACCCAAACUUGCACCGUUUUGCUUCGUGUUGGUGCCAGGGCAGGUGGGAAGGUGCCGGGUGGUGUGGCCAGGGACUGGGACAAUGCCAGGCUUUGAAACUGAGCAGUUAGAGAAUCAUGGAAUCAUGGAGUGGUUUGGGUUGGAAAAGACCUUAAAGCUUAUCCAGUGUCACCCCCUGCCAUGGACAGGGACACCCUCUGAUAGACCAGGUUGCUCCAAGUCCCUAUCCUUCAAAUCCAAGGAUAUCUAAACUCUUCCUGGGAGAGCUUUCCUCUUUCUACCUCAAAUUCCAGAGAAUCCAAAAGCUGAAAUAUAUUCUGAAUCCAAAAUCUGAAAUAUAAAAUCUGAAAUAUAUUAUUUUCCCCCCUAAUAACUGCCAUGGCUUUCCCCAGUCAUUUUCAUGUCCACAGAGCUGCAAAAUUACCGAGGAGCAUCUUUGUUUCUGUUCCUCAGUAGCUGUUGGAUGGAUCAAAGUUUCCACCCUGGCUCUGUUACUGCAGCCCCAAAAUUCUUUUAUAGAAGGUGAUUGGCCCAGGCACAGAGGGAUUGGAUCCAGAACGGAGCGAGAGCCCACCCAUAUCCUGAGGACUUGGCUCAGGCAGAGGGGUCCCGCUGCCAGCACGAGCUAAAUCUCAAAUGAGCUGCAUCCCACGACUAGGAAAGGAUAAAAUCCCAGGAAAAAAAAGAGACUUACCCUCUUCAUCCAUCGGAAACACAUUUAGAAGGUAAAGUCGACUGAAUGAGGAGCUUUAUCAGCCUCGGGGACAUUUAUAUGGCGUUUAACGUGUAUGGGAAGUGAGACACCCUCGGGAAUGAGAAGGAUUUAUUUACCGAACUGCGAUUUCAGUGUUUGCUUUGACUCCCGAUCCAUAUCUCCCUUCAGACCGCUCAUUUCGCCGCUGUAAUUGUUACUUGUGCUUAAUGAGCCUGUUCCUGCGCCCCUGCCCUGGGCUACGCCGGAAUCCUCCGGCCCCAGCCCCGGGGAGGUGGGUGGCGGUGGGGGCGUAGGAGAAUGCACAGCGAGAGCGGGGACGUGGGGCAACGCUCCCGAAGCUCUGGGGACGAUCUGAUCCCUCCCGCCGGGUCCCCGGUGGCUCCAGGGGGAGCUUUUUUUUUUUUUCCGAGGAAAACAUUUGCAUAUGAUCCAGAAGGUUCAAAGUGAUUGAUGCCCCAAGUGGGAAUUUUGCCAGGGCGCUGGAGGUGCUCUAAGAGAGUUUAAAAGGCAGAAUUUGCGGAGAUGUGAACGUCCCCAUGCUUAAACCCAGCCUGGCUGGAUUACGCUUUAAUGAAGGAUUAUGCUUUA
Taeniopygia guttata (zebra finch) is the source of this 1505-nucleotide non-coding RNA. NCBI's taxonomy places the organism in Eukaryota, Metazoa, Chordata, Aves, Passeriformes, Estrildidae. The record is from RefSeq and is a predicted model, not a curated record.